Long non-coding RNA from Octodon degus (degu), 4600 nucleotides. RefSeq lists it as uncharacterized. The transcript is spliced from 5 exons. NCBI's taxonomy places the organism in Eukaryota, Metazoa, Chordata, Mammalia, Rodentia, Octodontidae. The record is from RefSeq and is a predicted model, not a curated record.
GGAGGUCAAGCCACCAAAACCUGGAAUGCCAACGAAGCCACCGUCGCUGUCGUGGCCUGUCUCCGUGGUAACCUGUUUGCCGCAGAGGACUCUGGGAGUUGUAGUUGGGCCGGAGCCGGCUGCGCGCCCUAGCCGCCCUACAGCUACAGUUAGUGUUCGCCAGCGGCCACCGCAGGCAAACGGCAGGCACCGCGGACGGAGUAAGCAGCCCCGUUCGCCCUUAGCACGAGGAGGAGUUCCUGUCCUACAGAAGUUCUCCAGAGAAAAUGGCACCGACAACGCAGUGGGUGCAUGAGUCACAGCAUCACCCUCUUCAGCCCGGAGACCUUGUCUAGCUGUGGCUUUCGGAGCAUCUCUCCUUGGAGCUAUGAACAGAACAAGGAGUUCGCCUCCCAUUGAGGACUUUCUGAAAGAGGAUCCUGUGGGUGACUUCAUACAGCCACCAAACUAGAAGCAGCCUUGGAAUGCUUCAGUCCCUUCUGCUGGUGGCAGAGACCCUUCUUCUGGAGUGCUUCAUGUAGGUGAGGAGGGAGGACAGUGACCCAGCGGCCAGGUGGGCCCCUUGCCCUGUCACGCCUUCUUCAUGGCUCUCUGUUGGGUGAACAUUUGAAGUCACAAAUGCUCAGCGCACCCCCACACACGCCGCAUCCUCAGCUCCCUCCCUGGUCUCCCUGUCUCUCCGAUAUGGGGGCACCCCUGAGUUUCGUCAUCUGUGACGACCGUCCGCCCGCUCUCCAGCCGGAACCUCAGCGAUGAAUAAGGGCUGAUUUCUUCUCAAAUGAUUGCCGCCCCCAAUUCAUCACAUUCAAAGGACUCGUUCGCAGUGGCUCAUCAGGUGCCGCAAGGUGGUGCUUUCUGGAACAUCACACUGUGCGUCUGCGUCCGGGAUGCGCACGAGCUGUGACGUUUGAGCUCCCAGCAGAGAAACAGCAUCUCAUCAUUUGGAUUCUCCACAGCACCUCUGAGCAUGACGCACCCAGGGAUGAGGCUGUCUCAGCAGCUGCGGAUGCUGUGGUCCAAGCAGAUGGUUUAGGACAUUUGCUGUUGACUAAAAGCAGCCUCUUCUGGGAUGCUUGUCCCUCAGGCUCUUCAAGGUCACACAGGGAAGAAGGUGACCUACUUACUGUCACCCCUUCCUCCUCAGCCUCAUGCCAAGCAGGCCACCCAGGUUAGCUCUGAAGCCCCAGAAGGUAACGGAUGGAGGCCUAGUCCCAUUGCACCAGGCUGCAUGGAGAGGUUACUCAUCAGGAGUUGCACUGGCCUGGGAGUACCCAGGAGGAGGGUGCAGGCUGCAAACCCCCUUGCAGAGUUGCUUGUUGUGAGCCUGGCUCUAGGACCACCUAGGGCUCUCAGGGUCAGAGCCUAUCUGAGCUCAUGCAGAGAACCUGAAGGACAGAGGUGAAUAACUACUGCCUCCCCUGGCCACCUUGUGACUUUAUCCCUCUGGCGUGUGGCUAACUUCUAGGUCCCACAUAGGAAGCACAGAAAAGGCCUCUUUCCUCUUGUUAGUUACAAAAUCUCUUGUCUACCCUGAAAAAUAAGGGCACAUUCUGUGUCUGAAUUCAAGAGUUUAUGCAGCUUGGAACUCUCUCCUAGCCAAACCUGUGCCUGGCAGGGCAGGAAGAGUGGUCGCUUAGAGUGGCUGAGCAGGUGGCAGGUUGGAGCUCAGGUGUUAGGAGGAUGGUGGGCCUGCCAGCUGCUGCCGUUGGCUUGCCAGAGGCCACAUGCUGUCUGGGCCCCAGAGACAGCCAGUCACUGUCUUCGUGUGCUCCACUUCUGGCAGUUUAUAGCUGGAAUGUCAUUUAUAAGCCUCCAGAAUAUUCCCUCAAAUUGCUUGAGCAAUUACUGGCAGGAGGCCACAGCCGAUAAGAUAUGGGGAAAACGGGUGGAAGAGAUCAAAGUGGGUAGGAGAGUAAAAGGUUUUGGAGGAACAAAGGUCCAGGGGUUGACUCUAGACCAGGCCUUCCCAGGAGGCUAGCAAAGGCCUCUCAGGAAGUUGUUGAAGAAACUAGGUCUUUAAAAAAAAAAAACCAACCAACCAAGCAGGUCAGAUGGAGAGCUGUGAAGUCAGGUUACCCCCAUCCCAUUCCCCACCCCACUCCCCACCUUGAGGACAUCACUUCAGUUCCCAACCAGAAAAUAUAAGCAGUCAGCUAGCAUGCAUAUAAGUGUCCCCUGUGCUGAGUGUCAUACACAGUAUCUCAGUUACUCUUCCCCAUAGCCCUUUGAAACAGCCGUGUUCCCACCCUUGUGUUGCAAAUGAAGGAAAUAAGAUACAAAGAAGUUCAAUGGCCUGAUUGAAUCACAGAGCUAAUUAGAGGAGUCCAGAUUCGAGUUCAGGUCUGCCUCUGACCUUCAUUGUCGGUGGCUCAUUUUUCCAUUGCAGGAUUUUUAAUUCCACUUGGUGGAAUCACCAGUGCAUGUUCUGGCUGGGUCAAGGGCCAUCUGGAAAUAGUGCCACCUCCACCAUCUUGGGCUUGUCAAAGCUGCCCCAAGGAUUCCAGGAAACCAAGUCUCACAGUGAGCAUUUCCAACUCUGUGAAAGUCACAUUCCUUUUUUGUGUGUAUGUGGAACUGGGGAUUGAACUCAUACCCUUAUGCUUGCCAGGGAAGUGCUUAUUCUACUGAGCCAUCUCCCCAGCCCAAAAGUCACAUUCCUGAGAUGUCAAGCUUCCCUCCAACAUCACUGGAGUCUCUGCUGUGGGAGCUGGGGAAUCGCGAGUCAUGGCAGAUUUGGGAAUCUGUUACCACUCUCAGUUCUGCAGGCCAGGCAUUAGGGUCAGUUUCUACCCCACUAUGCCUAGAACCUUCAUGGUAUUGGCUGGAAUAGCUGGAGAUGGAGUCUUGUUUGUGUCCUCAGAGUCUUGUUUGUGUCCUCUAACACAUUGCUCCUCUCCUGGUAGCGUCCACUGGGACCAAGGUGUCCUUGAUGGCCUUUCCUUCUGUGGAACCACUCACUAGAGCAGCCCUUCUUCUGUGCUUCACCUUUGGUCCUCUCCACUGGGCUCCCCUCUGCCUGUUUGCCCCCAGCCCUGCUGCCCUGGUGGCUCUGCCAUACUAUGGGACUCUAGGGUGUGUGCACAGUUCAUUGCAUUGGGACCCAGCAUAUGCUGGCCAGAGACUUUUGAAGUUGUCUGACUCAGAAACAGACUGGACAUCAUCCUGACAAUGUGUAACAAGAUGUCAGGAGAGUGAGCAGGCCUGGAUGGACCAGUGUGCCACCCAAAAUUCCAAUUUGAAUGAAGAAAAACAGAACAAGCUAUAAUGGAGAGAAGAAUAGGCUUGCUUUUUGCAAGAAGAUGAGGGGCCAACCUGAGUAGAGCUGGUGGAUGCUAGAGAGAGGUAACAGCCCCAGAGCUGCCCUCAUGCCUGUGGCUUGCCCAGCCUCAGCCAUGCAUGUCACUGCAGCAAGCUUAUAUACAUGUUUCCUUUUGUGUCACUUGGCUUAGAAACCAUGUGACAGUGCUGCAUUAAACUCUGGAAAUGGCUGGGAGUCUUGAGUCCAUGAGACUAUGAGACACAGGAAAAGCCAGUCUGUUGAGGCAGUGACAGAGGAGGAGCCCAGGUCCUUGAUGGCAUUCUCGAGCCACUGUAACUAUCCUGGAACCACCAGCUUCCAGCAUGUCAGCCAUAUAGCUUAAAGGUCUUUGUUUUCUAAGCAGACUUCUAGAGGCCCUUUACAGCCUGUAGUGUUCUCAGAACCUUUGUGUCAUCUCCCCCACAGCUUUUCUUGUCACCCUCUGGCUCAAGUGGAAAAUCUACCUAGCCACUAAUGAAAGAAACUGUUUUGGGGUGGUGAGAAGGAUAGCUCAGGAUUGCUCACCACCUGCACGGCAAUCCCAGCGCUUAGUCCCACCUGUGGAUAGACGAGGAAAGACAAGUAUUUGGGAAGGUUCCAGCUGUCUGAGUAUGAGUCUUCUGAGAUGGGCUCAGUGGUGGAUUAUAGGAGGACAAGUUCAGAAGGGUUCAGUGGCUGAGAUCUGGGGCCUGUGUCGGGGCCUAGAGGAGACCAUGGCAGAAGGUGGGUAAAUUCUGGAGCGAGGAUGGCACCCACAGCUGCAUGUUUGAGGCCUCUGUAGUAGAUGAAGUUUGUGGCAGCUGAAACUAGACUGUGGGGACCUGGGCCUUGCAGUGAAGCAGACUUGAUGAUGUUUUUCGACCAUCUUGGGAACAGAGGCCCCUGACUUGUGGCAUUCUGUUCUUUGCCUUGUAUGGCAGUCCUUAGUUUCCCCAUCUUCUCCAUCUACCUUUUCCAAGUAAAUCCAGGAGCCAGAAAUGCACAAGACCUGAGUCACUGCUAACGCACUUGGGAAGUUCAGAUAGUGGGAGGCAAGGAUGUAUUUUGGGAGACUUAGACUGCUCGUCUAGGAAGAGGAGUUAGAUUGGCAGGCAAGAGAGCAGUUGGUGAAUGUGAACUGGAGAAAGCUUCCCCUUGGGACAGCUUCUGGUUGUUUUGUGAUUCUGUGACAAGAAAUGUACCUCGUCCUUCCCUUCCCUAGGGAAGGGUGGCUUCACAAACAACUCUGUUCUAAAAAAAAUGAAACUGAAGGACUCAGGUCAACAAUUUCUGACAUGGCCAGUCAAGCAGAAGACCCAAUAC